RNAcentral lists this long non-coding RNA (904 nucleotides) under Marmota monax (woodchuck). Lineage: Eukaryota; Metazoa; Chordata; Mammalia; Rodentia; Sciuridae. The record is from RNAcentral.
GGAAUGUCCACUGUGUGCAAGGAAUUCUUCAUUGUAAGGCGAGGGCCAACAGGACAAGUCCACGGAACUGGAGAGUGCUGGGUGAGCUGGCAGUAAGCUGAUUGACAUGGAGGUGUUGGUAAUGGCAGUAGUGACUUCGAAAUUUAUAGGCCUGGUUUUGAUAAAUUAGAAAUAAUCUUAAAAUUUAAACUACUGCAUUGCUAAGAGCUGUGGUAUUAGAUUAUAGCAUCUUAUUAUCAGAAAAGGAGCAGACUGAUUUUGUUCUGUUGGGACGUUUUCAGUGGUUAGAUUAGAGCAAGGUGGAUGUUUUGUAUUGUCCAGGGCAGCUGUGCCCCCAAGUGGCCAUGGGCCGGCUCUGAGCUGCUGUAGCUCUUCAGGACUCUGCUGCUCGUGAGGCCCUCGCUAUGCACCAAAAAGCGCUGGUCACUGCUCUCUGGAGGCCAGGUGAGUCACACAGGUGGGCCGCUUACCCACGUUUUGCUUUGCUUUCCUUUUAUGGUCUUGUGUUGAGCCCAAAUUGGGGUUUAUUUCAUUUGGAUUCUGGUCCUUGGCCUCUAGGCCACCUAUAGCAAACUCAGUACAGUGACGUGCUCACAGUCCACAUUUCUGUAAUCCUAUGUUUCUUAAGGUUAGUCGGGGAUUCCAAAAUAGAAAACAGUGUUGACAGCGGGUAUUGAGAUCAUCUACCUCAGACUUUAUGACCACCCUAGAGGCUUAGCAACUCAACAAGUUUGUAAUAAUCACCUUUUUAUUAUAAAGUAAUAAAACCACAUUCCCAAAAGGAGAGCUGACUCUUGAAUCAGAAGAAGGCUAACUUUGGAACCUGCCUGCUGGCCUGACUGUUGCCGCCCCCCCUGCGGUGGCUGCACUGGACGCAACCUCUUAGACAUCCAGUCCCUUCUGG